RNAcentral lists this ribosomal RNA (460 nucleotides) under uncultured bacterium. RNAcentral's name for it is "partial 16S ribosomal RNA". It matches the Rfam family "Bacterial small subunit ribosomal RNA", at positions 338 to 795 of the family's 1533-position model. The record is from RNAcentral.
CCUACGGGAUGCAGCAGUGAGGAAUAUUGGUCAAUGGACGAGAGUCUGAACCAGCCAAGUCGCGUGAAGGAUGACUGCCCUAUGGGUUGUAAACUUCUUUUAUAUGGGAGUAAAGUGUUCCACGUGUGGGCUUUUGUAUGUACCCUAUGAAUAAGGAUCGGCUAACUCCGUGCCAGCAGCCGCGGUAAUACGGAGGAUCCGAGCGUUAUCCGGAUUUAUUGGGUUUAAAGGGAGCGUAGAUGGGUGGUUAAGUCAGUUGUGAAAGUUUGAGGCUCAACCGUAAAAUUGCCAUUGAUACUGGCAGUCUGGAGUACAGGUGAGGUAGGCGGAAUUCGUGGUGUAGCGGUGAAAUGCUUAGAUAUCACGAAGAACUCCGAUUGCGAAGGCAGCUUACUAAACUGCAACUGACAUUGAUGCGCGAAAGUGUGGGUAUCAAACAGGAUUAGAUACCCGAGUAGUC